Long non-coding RNA from Paramisgurnus dabryanus, 1001 nucleotides. RefSeq lists it as uncharacterized. Lineage: Eukaryota; Metazoa; Chordata; Actinopteri; Cypriniformes; Cobitidae. The record is from RefSeq and is a predicted model, not a curated record.
UACACGAGUGUAUGCAAAAAAGCAACGUUUUUCUAUAACAUACAAAGAAACACAAUAUCUUUAAAUUAAUCAAAUGCUUCCUCGGGCAAAGAACAUCUUUUCCCGAUUUUCCGCGUCUCCUUCAGUGCUAGACGGACGGAUUCUUCAUCUGCAGCAGCUGCAUUCUAAAAGAAACCAUUACAAAAAUAAGGAAAAAUUAAUUUUACAAACUAUGUCAUGUGUUUUCUUUGUUUCCUCAAUAUAACUCUGAUUAGAAUGUCAAACAAAGAUAAAAUCAUCCGUAUUAAUAGUCAAUAUCGUGUAUAUUAUUAAUAUGAGCGUCUUUGCGUUAAAUUCGUGCUACACCACACCAUGCACUUAUAUCGACGUCGCAAUGCAAAAGAAGAAGGGCAAGAAAGAAACCUGUCCUGGUCUGGCGAUUUAAGGGAACAUUUGUUUAAGUUUGAGCCUGUCUAGAUCUUUUAUCAGUCUAGAAAGAUGUUGGAGAAAAGACAUCAUCCUCUUCUAUAAUCUCCAUCUGUAAUUGGACUAACAACUGGACCAGUGAAUGCAGGCAACUUACUCUCCAUUCGACCUUGCAGGUCACACCAUGGUCUCAAGAGGGAAAAUGAGUGCUCUAUGGAUUGAACAGAAAAGGUGAAUCAAAACUCCAACCAUCUGUAUGAGGGUCUGGAUGGAUAAAGGAUGCCCACUGGAGCUGGAAAUGAUGGAUCAGGUGGAUCCACACUUGAACCAUCUGUAUGAUGAUCUGCACCCACUGGAUCUGUAAAUGGUGGUGCAGGUUUCUGAAUUGAUGUCAGAUGCAAAGCAGAAGCUUAUUUUCUGCCAGUUUGGCUUCAUUGUGGAAAAAUGCUUGAAACUAAAAUGCAGAAUUCUGGCCUGGUGUUUGGUCCCCCUUUCUCUGGCUUGUGUCUCCAUCAUCAUUACACUCUUGUCAGUGUAAUAGUAUCGUCGUCUGCGUACCAGGACUUUGUUACUCAGCUGUCCCUUCUCCUUCAAGC